UUAGCAUGUUAAUAAUGAAUAGGACGUGUGGUUCUAUUUUGUUGGUUUCUAGGACCGCCGUAAUGAUUAAUAGGGACAGUCGGGGGCAUCAGUAUUCAAUUGUCAGAGGUGAAAUUCUUGGAUUUAUUGAAGACUAACUACUGCGAAAGCAUUUGCCAAGGAUGUUUUCAUUUAUCAGGAACGAAAGUUAGGGGAUCGAAGACGAUCAGAUACCGUCGUAGUCUUAACCAUAAACUAUGCCGACUAGGGAUCGGACGAUGUUAUUUUUUGACUCGUUCGGCACCUUACGAGAAAUCAAAGUGCUUGGGCUCCAGGGGGAGUAUGGUCGCAAGGCUGAAACUUAAAGAAAUUGACGGAAGGGCACCACCAGGGGUGGAGCCUGCGGCUUAAUUUGACUCAACACGGGGAAACUCACCAGGUCCAGA
Molecule: ribosomal RNA, 425 nt
Filed under: Colletotrichum gloeosporioides
Lineage: Eukaryota; Fungi; Ascomycota; Sordariomycetes; Glomerellales; Glomerellaceae
Description: SSU rRNA
Rfam family: Eukaryotic small subunit ribosomal RNA
Source: RNAcentral